UACGUAGGGGCCUAGCGUUGUCCGGAUUUAUUGGGCGUAAAGAGCUCGUAGGCGGUUCGGCAAGUCGGAUGUGAAAUCUCCACGCUUAACGUGGAGGGGCCAUUCGAAACUGCCGUGACUCGAGUCCGGUAGGGGAGUGUGGAAUUCCCGGUGUAGCGGUGAAAUGCGCAGAUAUCGGGAGGAACACCAGUGGCGAAGGCGACUACCUGGCCUGUUCUUGACGCUGAGGCGCGAAAGCUAGGGGAGCAAACGGG
This 254-nucleotide ribosomal RNA is filed under the name uncultured bacterium. RNAcentral's name for it is "partial 16S ribosomal RNA". It matches the Rfam family "Bacterial small subunit ribosomal RNA", at positions 524 to 776 of the family's 1533-position model. The record is from RNAcentral.